RNAcentral lists this ribosomal RNA (479 nucleotides) under uncultured bacterium. RNAcentral describes it as "bacterial SSU rRNA". It matches the Rfam family "Bacterial small subunit ribosomal RNA", at positions 28 to 534 of the family's 1533-position model. The record is from RNAcentral.
GAUGAACGCUGGCGGCGUGCCUAACACAUGCAAGUCGAGCGAUUUACUUCGGUAAAGAGCGGCGGACGGGUGAGUAACGCGUGGGUAACCUGCCCUGUACACACGGAUAACAUACCGAAAGGUAUGCUAAUACGAGAUAAUAUACUUUUAUCGCAUGGUAGAAGUAUCAAAGCUCCGGCGGUACAGGAUGGACCCGCGUCUGAUUAGCUAGUUGGUAAGGUAACGGCUUACCAAGGCGACGAUCAGUAGCCGACCUGAGAGGGUGAUCGGCCACAUUGGAACUGAGACACGGUCCAAACUCCUACGGGAGGCAGCAGUGAGGAAUAUUGGGCAAUGGGCGAAAGCCUGACCCAGCAACGCCGCGUGGAGGAUGAAGGCUUUAGGGUUGUAAACUCCUUUUGUGGGGAAAAGAAUGGAUGGUACCCCAAGAAUAAGUCACGGCUAACUACGUGCCAGCAGCCGCGGUAAGGCGUAUGUGU